AAUGAAAUAGUUAUAUAACAUCUGAAAUGCCAGAGCUAGAAUCAGAAUGCCUGGGUUCAAAUCCUGGUUUCACUA
RNAcentral lists this transfer RNA (75 nucleotides) under Fukomys damarensis (Damara mole-rat). It matches the Rfam family "tRNA". From Rfam's summary of the family: Transfer RNA (tRNA) molecules are approximately 80 nucleotides in length. Their secondary structure includes four short double-helical elements and three loops (D, anti-codon, and T loops). Further hydrogen bonds mediate the characteristic L-shaped molecular structure. tRNAs have two regions of fundamental functional importance: the anti-codon, which is responsible for specific mRNA codon recognition, and the 3' end, to which the tRNAs corresponding amino acid is attached (by aminoacyl-tRNA synthetases). tRNAs cope with the degeneracy of the genetic code in two manners: having more than one tRNA (with a specific anti-codon) for a particular amino acid; and 'wobble' base-pairing, i.e. permitting non-standard base-pairing at the 3rd anti-codon position. Lineage: Eukaryota; Metazoa; Chordata; Mammalia; Rodentia; Bathyergidae. The record is from Rfam by way of RNAcentral.